UCCCCUAGUAACGGCGAGUGAAGCGGGAAGAGCCCAGCACCGAAUCCCCUCGCCGAAAGGCAGUGGGAACUGUGGUGUAUAGGACAGCCUCUGCGAUGUCGUUCGGUCGUCUAAGUCCCCCGGAUCGGGGCUUGCCCAUAGCGGGUGUAAGGCCUGUACGGCCGCCGUUCGCUUCGCUCUGAGCGUCCUGGGAGUCGGGUUGUUUGUGAAUGCAGCCCAAAGCGGGUGGUAAACUCCAUCUAAGGCUAAAUACAGACACGAGUCCGAUAGC
RNAcentral lists this ribosomal RNA (271 nucleotides) under Crispabrachia yenisey. RNAcentral describes it as "Siboglinidae gen. n. sp. y NK-2021 partial large subunit ribosomal RNA". It matches the Rfam family "Eukaryotic large subunit ribosomal RNA", at positions 76 to 341 of the family's 3401-position model. Lineage: Eukaryota; Metazoa; Annelida; Polychaeta; Sabellida; Siboglinidae. The record is from RNAcentral.